RNAcentral lists this ribosomal RNA (253 nucleotides) under uncultured bacterium. Its description in RNAcentral is "partial 16S ribosomal RNA". It matches the Rfam family "Bacterial small subunit ribosomal RNA", at positions 524 to 776 of the family's 1533-position model. The record is from RNAcentral.
GACGGAAGGUGCAAGCGUUGCUCGGAAUCACUGGGCGUAAAGGGUGCGUAGGCGGCCGUGCAAGUCUGGCGUGAAAGCCCCGGGCUCAGCCCGGGAAGUGCGCUCGAAACUGCGCGGCUCGAGUGCCGGAGGGGAGAGUGGAAUUCCUGGUGUAGCGGUGAAAUGCGUAGAUAUCGUAAGGAAGACCAGUGGCGAAGGCGGGUCUCUGGACAGUUCCUGACACUGAGGCACGAAGGCCAGGGGAGCGAACAGG